CAAGUCGAACGCGAAAGUCCCCUUCGGGGGGCGAGUAGAGUGGCGCACGGGUGAGUAACACGUAGGUAAUCUACCUUUGGAUUGGGAAUAACAACCGGAAACGGUUGCUAAUACCGAAUAAUGCAGCGGCACCUAAUGGUGACAGUUGUUAAAGCGGGGGAUCGCAAGACCUCGCGUCUGAAGAGGAGCCUGCGGCGGAUUAGCUAGUUGGUAAGGUAACGGCUUACCAAGGCGAUGAUCCGUAGCCGGCCUGAGAGGGCGGUCGGCCACACUGACACUGACAUACGGGUCAGACUCCUACGGGAGGCAGCAGUCGGGAAUUUUGGGCAAUGGGCGAAAGCCUGACCCAGCAACGCCGCGUGAAGGAUGAAAUCCUUCGGGAUGUAAACUUCGCAAGAACAGGAAGAAUAAGUAAGAGUUAAUAUCUCUUAUGAUGACGGUACUGUUUGUAAGCUCCGGCUAACUCCGUGCCAGCAGCCGCGGUAAUACGGGGGGAGCAAGCGUUGUUCGGAUUUACUGGGCGUAAAGGGCGCGUAGGCGGCCUCCGCAAGUCGACUGUGAAAUCUCCGGGCUUAACCCGGAACGGUCAGCCGAUACUGCGGGGCUAGAGUGCAGAAGGGGCAACUGGAAUUCUCGGUGUAGCGGUGAAAUGCGUAGAUAUCGAGAGGAACACCUGCGGCGAAGGCGGGUUGCUGGGCUGACACUGACGCUGAUGCGCGAAAGCUAGGGGAGCGAACGGGAUUAGAUACCCCGGUAGUCCUAGCCUUAAACGAUGAAUGCUUGGUGUCUGGGGUUUUAUAGUCCCCGGGU
RNAcentral lists this ribosomal RNA (810 nucleotides) under uncultured Actinomycetes bacterium. RNAcentral describes it as "bacterial SSU rRNA". It matches the Rfam family "Bacterial small subunit ribosomal RNA", at positions 58 to 844 of the family's 1533-position model. Lineage: Bacteria; Bacillati; Actinomycetota; Actinomycetes. The record is from RNAcentral.